Molecule: ribosomal RNA, 297 nt
Filed under: Clostridioides difficile
Lineage: Bacteria; Bacillati; Bacillota; Clostridia; Peptostreptococcales; Peptostreptococcaceae
Description: partial 23S ribosomal RNA
Rfam family: Bacterial large subunit ribosomal RNA
Source: RNAcentral
AACAGGCUUAUCUCCCCCAAGAGUCCACAUCGACGGGGAGGUUUGGCACCUCGAUGUAGGCGCAUCACAUCCUGGGGAUGUAGUAGUCCCUAAGGGUUGGGCUGGUCGCCCAUUAAAGUGGUACGCGGGGUGGGUUCAGAACGUCGUGAGACAGUUCGGUCCCUAUCCGGCGCAGGCGUAGGAAAUUUGAGAAGACCUGUCCUUAGUACGAGAGGACCGGGAUGGACGUACCUCUGGUGUACCAGUUGUCCUGCCAAGGGCAUGGCUGGGUAGCUAUGUGCGGAAUGGAUAAGCGCU